GAGUUUGAUCCUGGCUCAGGAUGAACGCUGGCGGCGUGCCUAACACAUGCAAGUCGAACGGAGUUUAUGAGGAAGAAGCUUCGGCGGAAUUCUUAUAAACUUAGUGGCGGACGGGUGAGUAACACGUGGAGAACCUGCCUCUUACCGGGGGACAGCAGUUGGAAACGACUGAUAAUACCGCAUAAGCGCACGAGACCGCAUGGUCCUGUGUGAAAAGAUUUAUCGGUAAGAGAUGGCCCCGCCGUCUGAUUAGCCAGUUGGUC
This 263-nucleotide ribosomal RNA is filed under the name uncultured microorganism. Its description in RNAcentral is "partial 16S ribosomal RNA". It matches the Rfam family "Bacterial small subunit ribosomal RNA", at positions 9 to 254 of the family's 1533-position model. The record is from RNAcentral.